ACAGCAAUUCGUUCUGUCGCUAUCUUUGAAACACAGGGUAGAGGAAAGUCCGGACAACACAGAGCGCCAUACUUCCUAACAGGAAGGGCUUAUCAAAGAUAAGAACAGCAAGUGCCACAGAAAAUAACCGCCGAAAGGUAAGGGUGAAAAUGUGAGGUAAGAGCUCACACACUGCACAGGUAACUGUAUAGCGGGGUAAACCUUAUGGGUUGCAAGACCAUGUAGAUCGGGGCUUGAGGGCUGCUCGUCCAAUCCCGAAGGGUAGGUCGAUAAAAAUAUUUAGUGAUAAAUAUUGUAGAUAAAUGACAGAAAUGCUGACAAAAAUUAGCAUACAGAAUCCGGCUUAUAGAAUUGCUGUUUUU
Molecule: RNase P RNA, 362 nt
Filed under: Bacteroidales bacterium
Lineage: Bacteria; Pseudomonadati; Bacteroidota; Bacteroidia; Bacteroidales
Description: RNase P RNA component class A
Rfam family: Bacterial RNase P class A
About the family: Ribonuclease P (RNase P) is a ubiquitous endoribonuclease, found in archaea, bacteria and eukarya as well as chloroplasts and mitochondria. Its best characterised activity is the generation of mature 5'-ends of tRNAs by cleaving the 5'-leader elements of precursor-tRNAs.
Source: RNAcentral